GGGGGCCUGCGGAGGGAUCAUUACACAAAUAUGAAGGCGGGCUGGAACCUCUCGGGGUUACAGCCUUGCUGAAUUAUUCACCCUUGUCUUUUGCGUACUUCUUGUUUCCUUGGUGGGUUCGCCCACCACUAGGACAAACAUAAACCUUUUGUAAUUGCAAUCAGCGUCAGUAACAAAUUAAUAAUUACAACUUUCAACAACGGAUCUCUUGGUUCUGGCAUCGAUGAAGAACGCAGCGAAAUGCGAUAAGUAGUGUGAAUUGCAGAAUUCAGUGAAUCAUCGAAUCUUUGAACGCACAUUGCGCCCUUUGGUAUUCCAAAGGGCAUGCCUGUUCGAGCGUCAUUUGUACCCUCAAGCUUUGCUUGGUGUUGGGCGUCUUGUCUCUAGCUUUGCUGGAGACUCGCCUUAAAGUAAUUGGCAGCCGGCCUACUGGUUUCGGAGCGCAGCACAAGUCGCACUCUCUAUCAGCAAAGGUCUAGCAUCCAUUAAGCCUUUUUUUUCAACUUUUGACCUCGGAUCAGGUAGGGAUACCCGCUGAACUUAAGCAUAUCAUAAAGCCGGGA
RNAcentral lists this ribosomal RNA (563 nucleotides) under Alternaria sp. RNAcentral's name for it is "eukaryotic LSU rRNA". The stretch from base 189 to 342 matches the Rfam family "5.8S ribosomal RNA". The record is from RNAcentral. Lineage: Eukaryota; Fungi; Ascomycota; Dothideomycetes; Pleosporales; Pleosporaceae.